RNAcentral lists this ribosomal RNA (492 nucleotides) under uncultured bacterium. RNAcentral's name for it is "partial 16S ribosomal RNA". It matches the Rfam family "Bacterial small subunit ribosomal RNA", at positions 29 to 507 of the family's 1533-position model. The record is from RNAcentral.
AGUGAACGCUGGCGGUAGGCCUAACACAUGCAAGUCGAACGGCAGCACAGUAAGAGCUUGCUCUUACGGGUGGCGAGUGGCGGACGGGUGAGGAAUACAUCGGAAUCUACUUUUUCGUGGGGGGUAACGUAGGGAAACUUACGCUAAUACCGCAUACGACCUACGGGUGAAAGCAGGGGAUCUUCGGACCUUGCGCGAUUGAAUGAGCCGAUGCCGGAUUAGCUAGUUGGCGGGGUAAAGGCCCACCAAGGCGACGAUCCGUAGCUGGUCUGAGAGGAUGAUCAGCCACACUGGAACUGAGACACGGUCCAGACUCCUACGGGAGGCAGCAGUGGGGAAUAUUGGACAAUGGGCGCAAGCCUGAUCCAGCCAUACCGCGUGGGUGAAGAAGGCCUUCGGGUUGUAAAGCCCUUUUGUUGGGAAAGAAAAGCAGCAGGUUAAUACCCCGCUGUUCUGACGGUACCCAAAGAAUAAGCACCGGCUAACUUCGUG